Molecule: ribosomal RNA, 792 nt
Filed under: Escherichia coli
Lineage: Bacteria; Pseudomonadati; Pseudomonadota; Gammaproteobacteria; Enterobacterales; Enterobacteriaceae
Description: partial 23S ribosomal RNA
Rfam family: Bacterial large subunit ribosomal RNA
Source: RNAcentral
GAGCUCGAUGAGUAGGGCGGGACACGUGGUAUCCUGUCUGAAUAUGGGGGGACCAUCCUCCAAGGCUAAAUACUCCUGACUGACCGAUAGUGAACCAGUACCGUGAGGGAAAGGCGAAAAGAACCCCGGCGAGGGGAGUGAAAAAGAACCUGAAACCGUGUACGUACAAGCAGUGGGAGCACGCUUAGGCGUGUGACUGCGUACCUUUUGUAUAAUGGGUCAGCGACUUAUAUUCUGUAGCAAGGUUAACCGAAUAGGGGAGCCGAAGGGAAACCGAGUCUUAACUGGGCGUUAAGUUGCAGGGUAUAGACCCGAAACCCGGUGAUCUAGCCAUGGGCAGGUUGAAGGUUGGGUAACACUAACUGGAGGACCGAACCGACUAAUGUUGAAAAAUUAGCGGAUGACUUGUGGCUGGGGGUGAAAGGCCAAUCAAACCGGGAGAUAGCUGGUUCUCCCCGAAAGCUAUUUAGGUAGCGCCUCGUGAAUUCAUCUCCGGGGGUAGAGCACUGUUUCGGCAAGGGGGUCAUCCCGACUUACCAACCCGAUGCAAACUGCGAAUACCGGAGAAUGUUAUCACGGGAGACACACGGCGGGUGCUAACGUCCGUCGUGAAGAGGGAAACAACCCAGACCGCCAGCUAAGGUCCCAAAGUCAUGGUUAAGUGGGAAACGAUGUGGGAAGGCCCAGACAGCCAGGAUGUUGGCUUAGAAGCAGCCAUCAUUUAAAGAAAGCGUAAUAGCUCACUGGUCGAGUCGGCCUGCGCGGAAGAUGUAACGGGGCUAAACCAUGCAC